CUCUAUAGAGCCCUAAGGAUAUGAAUUCGGCCCGCAGCCUUCGCUUCAAAUGGGUUCCUCUCCGUUUGAGCCACCAGAUGAGAGUGCAGCCCAGCCGGCAUGUGGAUUACAGCCUGCUGGAUGUGGUGGUGAAUGCCUAUCAUCUCAGCACUCUGGGAGACUGAGUCAAGAAGAUUGCAAGUGGGGCCAGGGAUUUAGCUCAGUGGUCCUGCCGUCUGCCUCGAAAGCUCAAGGUCCCAAGUUUGAUCCCCAGUACCAAAACAAACAAACAAGGAGACUGCAAGUUCCAGCCCAGCCUGAGCAACUUAAUGAGACCCUGUCUCAAAUAAAAAAUGAAAAGUGUUGGGAUGUAACUCAGGGUGAAGGCUCUGGGUUCAAAAGAAAUAGUGCAAAAGAAAUUUAAAAUUUGAAUUCUUCAGUCUCACCAGCCACAUUCAUUAGUUGCAGUAGCC
Heterocephalus glaber (naked mole-rat) is the source of this 452-nucleotide long non-coding RNA. NCBI's taxonomy places the organism in Eukaryota, Metazoa, Chordata, Mammalia, Rodentia, Bathyergidae. The record is from Ensembl.